This 253-nucleotide ribosomal RNA is filed under the name uncultured bacterium. RNAcentral's name for it is "partial 16S ribosomal RNA". It matches the Rfam family "Bacterial small subunit ribosomal RNA", at positions 524 to 776 of the family's 1533-position model. The record is from RNAcentral.
UACGGAGGGUGCGAGCGUUGCUCGGAAUUAUUGGGCGUAAAGCGUACGCAGGCGGCUCGGUAAGUCGAGUGUGAAAUCCCGAGGCUCAACCUCGGACGUGCAUUCGAUACUGCCGAGCUUGAAUGCGGGAGAGGGAAGCGGAAUUCCUGGUGUAGAGGUGAAAUUCGUAGAUAUCUGGAGGAACACCGGUGGCGAAGGCGGCAUCCUGGACCAAUAUUGACGCUGAGGAGCGAAAGCUAGGGGAGCAAACGGG